CAGGACUGAGUGGCAGUGGGCGUGGCAGUUUAUCUCCUCCACGGGUGUCUCCUGGAUGGCAGCGCAGCAGCGGGAGCAGGCGCGGCAGCAGGAAGAGCAGAAGGUGUGGAGGCAGGAAGAGCAGGAGUCCAGCAGGCCGAUCUGGAACUGUGAGACCACAUCGGGGACAUGCUGGACAUGUCUGUCGUCCUGGUCCCUCCUGUGAGGUAGAUGUUCUCUGGGAAACAUGUCUGAUUCUCAUGGCUGCUCAGGAGCUCUAGUCCUGCGUCUUCAUCCGCUCACCUCCUCCAUCCUCCUCCUUCUGUCCACACAGGGGUCGGGAAACCUCCAGCAACACCCCGCAUGCCGCCCUGAGUCACCACUCAGAAGACUCUGAGCUAGAAUCACAGUGAUCAGGGACAGAUACCGGACUGACUCCUGAGGCUACGGUCAAACACACGUUCUUACCUGAACAGCAGCGUGUGGAGACACGUUCUUCAUCAGAGGAUGACUCCUGUUGAAAAGUCGGCCGUCACUGCACACAACCUACCUCAGGACUGUGGGGGUCAGCGGCCGGGUCAGACUGAGGCGACCGUCGCCUCUCAGAAGCAGGGAGCCACUGUACCGCCGCAGAUGGCAGAUGCAGACGGACUCACAUCCAGGCCAGUUACAGACCCCGCGGUUAUAGAGGACGCCUGAGGACACAGCCUCAGCACUAGGAGAAGAAAAACAAGAGA
Long non-coding RNA from Cynoglossus semilaevis (tongue sole), 716 nucleotides. RefSeq lists it as uncharacterized. Lineage: Eukaryota; Metazoa; Chordata; Actinopteri; Pleuronectiformes; Cynoglossidae. The transcript is spliced from 6 exons. The record is from RefSeq and is a predicted model, not a curated record.